GACGUAGGGCGCGAGCGUUGUCCGGAUUUAUUGGGCGUAAAGAGCUCGUAGGCGGCUUGUCGCGUCGAAUGUGAAAUCUCAGGGCUCAACUCUGACAUUGCAUUCGAUACGGGCAGGCUUGAGUUCGGUAGGGGAGACUGGAAUUCCUGGUGUAGCGGUGAAAUGCGCAGAUACCAGGAGGAACACCGGUGGCGAAGGCGGGUCUCUGGGCCGAUACUGACGCUGAGGAGCGAAAGCGUGGGGAGCGAACAGG
Molecule: ribosomal RNA, 253 nt
Filed under: uncultured bacterium
Lineage: Bacteria
Description: partial 16S ribosomal RNA
Rfam family: Bacterial small subunit ribosomal RNA
Source: RNAcentral